CUCGAAUACCUUUAACAUUUAUCGCCUUGUUAGUCUCCACAUCCACCUCCGUGAAAGAAUCCGAAAGUCAUCUGAGUUGGCUAUCUGCACGUUCUCUCUGUACCAGUGAACUUGAACUGUGGCUGUGGCCUGGAUUCCGCAUUCAAACAUGACCAACUGACCUCUGGUUGUAGGGAUGUCUUGAAGAUGCUGAAGAACAAACACAGAGUUCAGAGGAUGGAAGAAACUGUUAUACCAUCUACAAUGAUUUGAAAUGCCAUUUGCAACUGCAGUUGACCGUGGGUUAUUGAAACCACAGAAAGUGA
This 305-nucleotide long non-coding RNA is filed under the name Homo sapiens (human). RNAcentral's name for it is "HSALNT0329746". The record is from RNAcentral. Lineage: Eukaryota; Metazoa; Chordata; Mammalia; Primates; Hominidae.